GGCGGGGUAGCUCAGUUGGUUAGAGCAUACGGCUCAUACCCGUAGUGUCGGCAGUUCGAUUCUGCCCCCCGCUACCA
RNAcentral lists this transfer RNA (77 nucleotides) under Candidatus Margulisiibacteriota bacterium. RNAcentral's name for it is "tRNA-Met". It matches the Rfam family "tRNA". From Rfam's summary of the family: Transfer RNA (tRNA) molecules are approximately 80 nucleotides in length. Their secondary structure includes four short double-helical elements and three loops (D, anti-codon, and T loops). Lineage: Bacteria; Bacillati; Candidatus Margulisiibacteriota. The record is from RNAcentral.